This 253-nucleotide ribosomal RNA is filed under the name uncultured bacterium. RNAcentral describes it as "partial 16S ribosomal RNA". It matches the Rfam family "Bacterial small subunit ribosomal RNA", at positions 524 to 776 of the family's 1533-position model. The record is from RNAcentral.
UACGUAGGGUGCGAGCGUUGUCCGGAAUUAUUGGGCGUAAAGAGCUCGUAGGCGGCUUGUCGCGUCGGAUGUGAAAGCCCGGGGCUUAACUCCGGGUCUGCAUUCGAUACGGGCAGGCUAGAGUUCGGUAGGGGAGAUCGGAAUUCCUGGUGUAGCGGUGAAAUGCGCAGAUAUCAGGAGGAACACCGGUGGCGAAGGCGGAUCUCUGGGCCGAUACUGACGCUGAGGAGCGAAAGCGUGGGGGGCGAACAGG